Molecule: ribosomal RNA, 429 nt
Filed under: uncultured archaeon
Lineage: Archaea
Description: bacterial SSU rRNA
Rfam family: Archaeal small subunit ribosomal RNA
Source: RNAcentral
UACCUGCAGCUCAAGUGGUGACCACUAUUAUUGGGCCUAAAACGUUCGUAGCCGGUUUAUUAAAUGCUUGGGUAAAUCGUGUAGCUUAACUAUACGAAUUCCGGGUAGACUGAUAGACUUGAGACCGGGAGAAGCUAGAGGUACUCCUGGGGUAGAGGUGAAAUUCUGUAAUCCUGGGGGGACCACCAGUGGCGAAGGCGUCUAGCUAGAACGGGUCUGACGGUGAGGAACGAAGCCCUGGGGCGCAAACCGGAUUAGAUACCCGGGUAGUCCAGGGUGUAAACGCUGCUUGCUUGAUGUUAGCUGGGCUCCGAGCCCAAUUAGUGUCGGAGAGAAGUUGUUAAGCAAGCUGCCUGGGAAGUACGAUCGCAAGAUUGAAACUUAAAGGAAUUGGCGGGGGAGCACAGCAACGGGUGGAGCGUGCGGUUU